GAGAAGAGAAGAGAAGAGAAGAGAAGAGAAGAGAAGAGGAGAGAAGAGAAAUGAAAUGCAGGAGCUCAGGCCUCACCCCCAGACCUACUGAGUCUGAAACAGCAUGUUGAGAAGAUUCCCCAGGUUCUACCCUUACUGGCAGGACAACUCUACGUGCUGGAUUGUCCAUUCCUGAUUGGCUUGACUCCAUUGUGUGAGAAGUCAGACUAUGUCAUACCGUCCCUCCUGAAUCAAGCACUACUCUAAAUUCCUGAAACUGACAACAUCCAGCCAAUAAGGUUAACAAGAGGGACCAGCAGAGACACAGGUCUUGGGAAGAGAAAGGCAGUGCUGUGUUGGUCAUCAGGAUCCACUUACAAGCAAGAUCCACAUGGAGCACUGGUUUAGAACUUCUAUAAAGGGUCGUUAGGAAUCAUUUUUUCUAGAUACAACAAGAAAAAACAGUCUAGGCUUUGCAAGAGUUCUUGACUGCUUUCCUAAUCCCACUGGCCACAUCCAGUUGAUCACCAAGUCCUAUUAACUUAAAUCAUGAUAAUCUGAUACUAAAUGCUUAAAAGUGCCAGUCAUCUGAGAGUUCUAUAUUUAGUAAUUCAUUUAACCCUUACAACCUCCCUACUUUGUAGGCAUAUUACUAUUACUAUGUUUAAUAUGUGACCCAACAAGAGAUAUAUGGAUUGAGUAACUUUCAUGAAACACAGCUAUAGAGAGGUAAAACUUAGGACUCUAAGCAGCAUGUCUGGCUCCAGAACCCACAUUCUUCUCCAUUACAUUUCACCAACCCUUAUGUGUCAAUUCUGUCUCCUCCUUACCAUCCCUACUGCCUUGGCUUUAUUUAAUUCAAGGACUUAUCUUCUCUGGACUGGUUUCUUGCAAGGACUCUAAUCAUUUUCCCUGACUCCACCAUCUCCACUUCCCAGAACAAUACUUUUGUCCACACUGAUGCCAGUGUGGCAUUAAGCACAUAGUUAUUGGAAACUUAAAAUGUGUCUGGUCCAAAUUGAGAUGUACUGUAAGUAUAACACCAGAUUUCAAAGUGGAAGUGUGGAAGAAAGUGUGGAAGAAAGAAUGUAAACUAUCUCAAUAAUUUUCCCUUUGAUCACGUGUUACUGGGUCUUAUUGCUUCAGGCCCGAAUGAGCUAGCAGAUUCCACAAAAUGUUUAAGCCCUCUAAAGAAGAUAUCUGCCAGGGGUGCCUGCGUGGCUCAGUUGGUUAAGCAUCCAACUUCAGCUAGGGUCGUGAUCUCAUAGUUCGUGUG
Herpailurus yagouaroundi (jaguarundi) is the source of this 1255-nucleotide long non-coding RNA. RefSeq lists it as uncharacterized. NCBI's taxonomy places the organism in Eukaryota, Metazoa, Chordata, Mammalia, Carnivora, Felidae. The transcript is spliced from 4 exons. The record is from RefSeq and is a predicted model, not a curated record.